This 445-nucleotide ribosomal RNA is filed under the name uncultured bacterium. RNAcentral's name for it is "bacterial SSU rRNA". It matches the Rfam family "Bacterial small subunit ribosomal RNA", at positions 330 to 792 of the family's 1533-position model. The record is from RNAcentral.
UCCAGACUCCUACGGGAGGCAGCAGUGGGGAAUAUUGCACAAUGGGGGAAACCCUGAUGCAGCGACGCCGCGUGAGUGAGGAAGUAUUUCGGUAUGUAAAGCUCUCUCAGCAGGGAAGAAAAUGACGGUACCUGACUAAGAAGCCCCGGCUAACUACGUGCCAGCAGCCGCGGCAAUACGUAGGGGGCAAGCGUUAUCCGGAUUUACUGGGUGUAAAGGGAGCGUAGACGGCGAGGUAAGCCUGAAGUGGAAGCCCGCGGCCCAACCGCGGAACUGCUUUGGGAACUGUUUUGCUGGAGUAUGGGAGGGGUAAGCGGAAUUCCUGGUGUAGCGGUGAAAUGCGUAGAUAUCAGGAGGAACACCGGCGGCGAAGGCGGCCUGCUGGACCGCGACUGACGUUGAGGCUCGAAAGCGUGUGGAGCGAACAGGAUUAGAUACCCGGGUA